This is a non-coding RNA of Anas platyrhynchos (mallard), 1526 nucleotides long. NCBI's taxonomy places the organism in Eukaryota, Metazoa, Chordata, Aves, Anseriformes, Anatidae. The record is from RefSeq and is a predicted model, not a curated record.
CCAAUUUCAAAAUCGGCAAUUUUGGUGUCCUCCACAAUGCAUGACAGCUAUCUUUCCUGGUUGUUUUACUGCCUGUAACCAUUUUAAAAUUUCUUCAGCAUGUCUUAUCUGUUUUCCCUGAGCGGUCAGCAAUCCACAUUCUUUCCAAAUCGCUCCAUGAGCAUGUACCACGCCGAAUGCAUAUUUCACGCGAAAAUGCGUGAAAAAGCCACCGUUUGGGGAAUUCCAAAAUCCUUUCCAACCUAAAUUACGCACUGAUUCUGCUCACAGAUACUCAGCUCCACUACCGUCACACAGAAACAUAACUACCCACGAGGAAUAUGCAGCAUCUGCUCCAUUUCUCUUCGUUUUCUUCACAUUAACACACCUUUAAUUAGAAUCUUGGUCUUUCCGAGCAUCUUCACGUUUCAUGUGCACAUGCUGACGGGUGGCUUGGUUGGGCUGCCAUUAGGCAGUGACUGGCUGUGUGUUGGCUGCUGGUGGAGUUUAAAGUGGGCAUGCAAUAGUGCUUGAGGCUCUCUGGAGCUGGAAAUAUGUUGAGUUUGGGGAAUCUCUUCUCCUUCCCCAGAGCUUCGGAGGGCAACCACGGCGCCUUCCUGAAACACCCUGUGCAUCUCCAAGCGGAGCUUUCUCUGCAGGACCUUGCUGGGCGCGAACCGGCGCGACCGCAGCACCAAGUGUCAGAGUUGGAGCCCCAGGAGCCUCCUCCGCCUUGAAGCUCCCCUGAGGAACAGACGGAAACGGAGCAAAGUGCACGCAGGAGAAGCCUGGGCUGGUGCCACGUAGUUAAUUCAGUCUUCAGAUGCUCCCUGGGUGAUAGCUGGGGCGCUUUGUCCAUUUGAAAGCAGGCAAAAGAAGAGAUUGGCGUGACCCAGGGCACCACCACUGCCCCCGAUCUCACGGAGACACUUUCACGUUGCCAUAGAGGCCCCGUCCCUAAGGACCGUCCUGGGAAGUGGGCGAGAAAGAAUCCCAGGCCUCGAUGGGAAGCAGGCGUUGCUUCCCAUCCACCUUCCUGGCUGGGCACCCAUGGGUGCAAGGAGCAAACGCUGCCGAGCCCGAGUAGCGGCCACAGCCACAAAGAUACUCUCUCGGGGAAGACGAUGACACGGCCAGAGAAGGUCAGGGAGGCCACGGCUGACACCCGGGACACCACCAUGUCCAUCAGCUGGGGGACCUGCAGGGGAGGAGCAAGGAGAUGGCAAAUGUCCUCUGCCUGGCCUCCACUAGGUCCUGGAGGAGCCCAGGGCAGCGGGAGCCGGCAGGACCGCAGCUCUUGGCCACCCCAAGAGGCUGGCCAGGAGCUCCAACCUAAGAGGUUGAAAUCUGAACCCUCUGACGGCGUUCUUGCAGCUCCGGGCAAUCAAAGCUCAUCUCACCAUGGACGGGGCCACGGCGUCAGGAGCCUGUGUUUGAGCUUUGGCAUUUUGAAAUUGCAAGAGCUCGCCCCCUGGUCUGUCAGGGUCCCAGUAGCAGAGGCGUCGCUGGGCUCCUUUGUUGCCUUCAUUGGCAGUGGCGACCUGGUU